This 71-nucleotide transfer RNA is filed under the name Marmota monax (woodchuck). RNAcentral describes it as "tRNA.Ala". The record is from RNAcentral. Lineage: Eukaryota; Metazoa; Chordata; Mammalia; Rodentia; Sciuridae.
GGGGUUGUGGCUCAGAGGUAGAGUGCUCACCUAGCAUGCGUGAAGCACUGGGUUCAAUCCUCAGCACCACA